AAAAAAUACAAACGAUAAAAUAGAAUAAAAAUUGCACUAGAUAUAGAUGAAAGAUAUGAGAAAAAAAAAGUAUGAAUGAAGUACAUAAGAAGAAGAAUAAAAAUAUAAUGAAGGAGAUGAGAAAGUGUAGAUGGAGGAAAUGAGUGACUAUAAAUGAAAGAGAUGAGAAGGAGGAAUUAUAUAGAAAGAGAGGAAAGUUGCAAAUAUAUAAAAUUGCAAACAUAUUUUAAGAUGGUCAAAAUUUUUAUAUAAAUA
Molecule: long non-coding RNA, 255 nt
Filed under: Vigna radiata
Lineage: Eukaryota; Viridiplantae; Streptophyta; Magnoliopsida; Fabales; Fabaceae
Description: long non-coding RNA (VRAD_LNC013332)
Source: RNAcentral